Molecule: long non-coding RNA, 1383 nt
Filed under: Eucalyptus grandis
Lineage: Eukaryota; Viridiplantae; Streptophyta; Magnoliopsida; Myrtales; Myrtaceae
Description: long non-coding RNA (EGRA_LNC002405)
Source: RNAcentral
UAGAUCAUUCUUUCUUCAUGGUCAAGAGUCAACAAUUGUAGGCUUUCUUUCACGUUCAAAUUAGCAAGUUCACCUUCCUUCGUGCUCUCUUGAAGACUCCAGCAGCCAUUAUAAUAAUAUUUUAAUAUGUGCCCAUUCUCUUGAUCAGCGUGUGGGAGCUUCUUCACGUGUUUCUCAUGCACGUAGAUUUCCCCAGCUUGUUCUAGGUUUUUCUUUGAUGCUUCUUCACAGAGUCUUCAAGUUCAAGGAUUUAUUGAAAAUGGAUCACUAAUUUCCAACACUCCCCCUGAUUCAUUUUAGGAUAAUCCAGACUUGUGUUGUAAAGUCUCGGACAUACCUGAAAUUUUUUCUUGUAAUUUGUCCCAUGCCUUUUAUGUCGUCUUUGUUCCAUGAUCCCUUGUAUUCUCCCGUCAAAACACUUGCACUUGCCUCAAAUGUGCAUGUUUUUUCUUCAACGAUGUCCCAUACGUCUCGGAACAUCAAAAUGCAUUUAGUUGUAGUUGUUAGCUCGGGCUCUGGCUCUCUUGGCUCUCGCUCGGGCUCUGGCCUUCUUAGUUGAGGAUGGUGAGGACAAACGCCCAUAACCAUCCGAUGUGCCUAUCUCUGGCUUCACGAUCCUUUACACCUGGCUCAGUUACGAACCUGGGUGCAACUGGCUCUGAUACCAUGUUAAAAAAUUUUGGAUGUGUGUGCUGCGGAAGCAUGAUUUUGGUAUUAGUUAUAGUUUUUGGUUAGCGACGUGUGCAAGUGUAUGGUAUAGUUUGUAUUUGAUAGAGGAUGGACAAGGGACAAUAUGUGAUAGUUGGAGGAUAUAAGACACAGGAUAUGGGGGAAAAUAGUUUCAUUAGUUGGAUAAAAUAGUUUGAUAGAUCUAUGACUUCUCAUGGUGGAGGAUUUUCCCACACAAGGUGGACCUCUCACACGAUGGAGGUAUUUCCCUCUCCAUACAAUUACAUGAUCAACAUUCAAGCCUAUUUAUAGGCGUGAAUCACCGCCAUCCUUCACCGACAUUAGUACAAAAAAUAAUAUAAAAUUACAGCUUGCUUCUUGUCUUCUUUUGUUGCGACUUCUUCCGCAUCUUCUGGUGGCUUCUCCAUUUAUCUUCAUUUUUUUAUUCUUUCGGCUGCCCACGUACUCUAGAUCAUUCUUUCUUCAUGGUCAAGAGUCAACAAUUGUAGGAUUUCUUUCACGUUCAAAUUAGCAAGUUCACCUUCCUUCGUGCUCUCUUGAAGACUCCAGCAGCCAUUAUAAUAAUAUUUUAAUAUGUGCCCAUUCUCUUGAUCAGCGUGUGGGAGCUUCUUCACGUGUUUCUCAUGCACGUAGAUUUCCCCAGCUUGUUCUAGGUUUUUCUUUGAUGCUUCUUCACAGAGUCUUCAAGUUCAA